CUUCCGUCCCAGAGCAUAUCCAAUCUCAAAAAUGUUUUGAACAAAUAUCCAAAUAUUAUUAUUAAAUAUCCAAAUAUUAUUAUUAAAUAGACA
RNAcentral lists this transfer RNA (93 nucleotides) under Lithospermum flavum. RNAcentral's name for it is "tRNA-Gln". Lineage: Eukaryota; Viridiplantae; Streptophyta; Magnoliopsida; Boraginales; Boraginaceae. The record is from RNAcentral.